CGACACACUACUGACCUACCUGCAGGGUCCUAUAACAACAUCAUCUGCUUUAAAAACAAAACUGUUGUGUUUGAGGGUUUGUUUUGUUCAGUAAUAAACACAACUUCUCGGUUUAGAGUUCGGGUAAAUAUUUCCCCAGCGGGGAUAUACUUUGUGUCUGUUCUAAAGAAGAGAUAUUUUGUAACUGAUACAUAUUUUCCUGCUGACGUCACAGAGAGUGAGGAGAUACUUUGUAACAAUUCGCGGAUAUUUAGUAACCGCCUCGAGGACGCUUUAAAUCUGUUGUACGUGGGAAAUAAGCAAAGAAAUCAGGAAUGAAAGUCUGAAAUGCACAUAGUCACAGGGCUUCCUCUUGAAGAAGCUUGACACCGCCUGGGCUGAAGCUUUGGACGGAAUCGCAGCGGUUUUUACCACACAGUUGUGUCCAGAUUGUCUCACUAUAGCGGUUUAUGUCGAAUCAUAAACUCGCCACUAGAACGAGACUCCUCUCUAACACGGAAUAUGUGUGUAUUUUUUUCUUUCUUUUUUUCCCUCCUCCUGUUCCUCCAUUGCUUGCUGGCGCAACAGCGUUUCAUUUGAACAGUCUCUAGUGCGCAUAUUGUGAAAUAUCAGCUUUAAUUACCUUCUCUCUAGUUUGUCUGGGCGCAUACGAACGUAUAUAGACCGUCAGUGUGCAAUAAACAGAUAUAGCUCCACAUUAUCCCACACUAUCAAUGGGCUGUGUCCGAGCAGUUCAGACUCUUCAGCUGAGGAAAAUCACUUUCAAAAGCUCCUUACCUUCUUCCACAAGAGUGCUACGAGCCAGGGCGCUUCAAGUGACGUAACGAACCGGGAUGCGCGCGCCCAACACUGGCCUCCAUGACCGCCGUGACGUGCACGAGCGCUUCUGCACCUCUUAUUCGAGGUGGCACCACAUAGAGGAUAUAUCCACACUGGAGACUGGAGCUAUAUACCCACACGAUGGAGACCUCCUCCAGCAGUGGUCUUCUGGGUGUAAUUUGGGGUUUGACUGAUAUUUCUUGCUUGUGUAACUGAAGCAUGACUGCAGGAAAAGGACUCAUGGACCCAAACCGCAUUGAUCAGACAGUUUACUGCUUAGGAUAGAGACCUGUCUUCUGCACUCCAAAAGCAGUGAUGAAGAUGUUGAUGAUGACGGUUUUGUGCAUAAUGCACGAUGGAUUUCACUCUCACCCAUGUGGACAAAGAGAGCCCCCGCGAGCACUUGGAAGAAGAGAGACGUGGCGAUGAGGACGAUGACAGUGAGGUAGUACUUGAACUCGGGGCCCUGCUCCAGGACAGCUUUCAGCUGAG
Molecule: long non-coding RNA, 1311 nt
Organism: Onychostoma macrolepis
Lineage: Eukaryota; Metazoa; Chordata; Actinopteri; Cypriniformes; Cyprinidae
Exons: 5
Source: RefSeq, a predicted model, not a curated record